This 56-nucleotide transfer RNA is filed under the name Sphingobacterium siyangense. RNAcentral describes it as "tRNA-Asp". It matches the Rfam family "tRNA", at positions 8 to 60 of the family's 71-position model. Rfam says of the family: Transfer RNA (tRNA) molecules are approximately 80 nucleotides in length. Their secondary structure includes four short double-helical elements and three loops (D, anti-codon, and T loops). Further hydrogen bonds mediate the characteristic L-shaped molecular structure. tRNAs have two regions of fundamental functional importance: the anti-codon, which is responsible for specific mRNA codon recognition, and the 3' end, to which the tRNAs corresponding amino acid is attached (by aminoacyl-tRNA synthetases). tRNAs cope with the degeneracy of the genetic code in two manners: having more than one tRNA (with a specific anti-codon) for a particular amino acid; and 'wobble' base-pairing, i.e. permitting non-standard base-pairing at the 3rd anti-codon position. The record is from RNAcentral. Lineage: Bacteria; Pseudomonadati; Bacteroidota; Sphingobacteriia; Sphingobacteriales; Sphingobacteriaceae.
UAGUUCAGCUGGUUAGAAUACAUGCCUGUCACGCAUGGGGUCGCGGGUUCGAGUCC